This is a long non-coding RNA of Siniperca chuatsi (mandarin fish), 647 nucleotides long. RefSeq lists it as uncharacterized. The transcript is spliced from 2 exons. The record is from RefSeq and is a predicted model, not a curated record. NCBI's taxonomy places the organism in Eukaryota, Metazoa, Chordata, Actinopteri, Centrarchiformes, Sinipercidae.
ACAUUUGCACUUUACCAUUUGGUGUUUGACAUUAAGCAUUUUAAAUUGUAUCUUUUCCAUUUUCCAUUAGGCGUUUUCCAUUUGCAUCUGACAUUUGGAUUUUCAAGCGGUAUGUAAAUGAGAAGGCGUGGCCAAAGGCCGGAGGGAGGGUUUGAAACGGCUGAGGCGCAGAGGCUCCUCACGGACAGCAGGGGGAGCGCUGACUGCUAAAGAGCACACUGCAAUGAAAACGGAGCAAGGACAGUGAGCAGGGUCGGAGCAUGGGGGUCAGAGGGAAGACUAUUAGCUAUGAGGCAGUGGCUUCAACUUGAUGAAAGUGUUCUAACAUUUGUGUCCAUGUGGCCUUACACACAAAGUCGUCAGUGAAAAGAGCGUUAACAACUCUACCGCAAUUCCCUGUCUGUCUGACAGCGAGAAAGCAGCGGACCAUGCAGCAGACAGAGAUGUGUCACCUGAACAUCACAGUGAAGGAGCUUUAGAUCAGCAGUCUGCUGCAGUGUUUGCAGAAGUGCUCACUGGGUCACAGCACAAGCUGGACGUUAGCUACACAGCUGAUUCUGUAACCACUGGAUCAGUGGACGCCACUAGACUCAGGAGUUUUUCUCUCACUCAGACACAUUGACACUUUAUUAAAGUCUUGUAUUUUA